This 1841-nucleotide long non-coding RNA is filed under the name Equus caballus (horse). RNAcentral describes it as "lncRNA (ENSECAG00000053742.1)". The record is from RNAcentral. Lineage: Eukaryota; Metazoa; Chordata; Mammalia; Perissodactyla; Equidae.
UUCUAAGCUUGCAUUUGCUCUACAAUAUUUGCACAUGAGUAAGUCACUUACCCUCUCUAAGUAUCAGUUUUCUCAUCUGUAAAAUGAGGGUAAUAAUUCCAUUUAUUAUGUGUCAUGGAAUUAUUUUGAGAAUCAAGUGAAUCAUGUAAAAAAGUUUUGUAAAUCAAGAAAGCAUUAUACAAAUGUGAGAUUGCUAUCAGCUGCUCAUAAGCAUCCUAUUAUAUUUACAGUGGAUGAGACUUUUUUUUCUCAUGUUCUUUCUCUUUAUUUCUGCACAGAGGGAGCAAGGAAGGCUCAUGUUUUCAUGGACCUGGGGGAAUUCUUGGUUUGAUGUAUUCUCUCUGCCCUCUUGCCCUGGAACACUGCUCCUCCAAAGUGGGAAUGAUAGGGAAGGAAAUGUCAGGAGACUUAAUUCAAUCAAAAGUCAUGUUUAAAUGUGGGCUUUGUGCAUCUUUGAAGUAGAUAUUUAAUUGUAUUCUUAAGUACUUGCACAUUUUCCAGGUUCAUGUAAGUAUUUUUAAUAGUGCUUGUGGAGAGAAGAAUAUAAAUUAUACCAUCACUAUGAAAUUUUUGAGUAUUUAUAUUGUCAUCAUUUUCUUAAUAUCCUUACAUUAAUUUCACGUGGGUGAGUUCAAACUCUAAUUGGCCAGAUAAGAAAAUACCUGUUCCCCAAAAUGCGAAGUGGUCUAUUUUUACUGUUACAAUUUUAAAUCUUAUAUUACAAUUUUCGUCAGCCCAAAAUGACAAACUCAAAUACUGAAUAUCUAACAAGAGUUUAAAGUACCGUCACCUGUGCCUACUUGUAGAGUUAGCUAAAAUCUAAAAUGCGACUUAGCUUUCAGUGGACACCCUUUGCAGUACUAUUGUUCAAGUAGGACUAAUAUUUGAGUAAAGAGUAUGAUGUGUUCCAAGAUUUAGAAUAGAAUUAAGUAAUCAGAAGAAACAAAUGGGAAGGCAAGGCCCCAACAAGUUGACACUUACCAAGGGCACACAUGAGCAGAAGCAAGCCUAGCACUCUGGUUUUCCUUGUACCUGGGGAAGGAUUCUUUCCAUUACCAUGCUGUGUCGGGAGUGUGUGUGUGUGUGUGUGUGUGUAGAAGAAAAUGGGAAAUGGGAACUAAAUGAAUCCAAAAUACUAAUAUUGGACUAAAUCAUUUUGAUGUUAUAGAGGAGCUAUUUGUGGUAAAACAAUAUGAAAAUGAACAAUGCCUACAAAGAUCUGAGUUCUUAUACAAGAUUGCCAAACAUCUGUGUAACCAUAGCUAGAUAUCUUGAUCUAUCUAUAUAAAAUAGCUGACCUAUUUUCUUACAUGUCGUUAUAGAGAAUAUGGAUGAUAAUGCCAAAAUAGUAAAAAUAUUUGCUCCAGGCAAAAUAUUUUGACCAAGUUUCUUAGAAAUCGGUCUUGAUUUUACAUUAAAAUUAUUUAAUUUAAAAUGUAUUUAAUCUAAAUUUAAACCUUAUUUAAAUUUAAAAAUUUAAAACUAAUGGAUGAUGUAGCUAAUUACUAAAUAUUUUAAAUGCGAUAAAAAAGAAAUGGAAAACUAUCCAAUUGUGUAAUAAACUUGUCCCUGACCAAAAUUGCUCAUCUUGAGUUGCAUUAACACUCUCCGUGCAUGUAGUGGUGUAAUGGUUCAUUAAAUGGUAAGCUUAAGCUGAAAUGAUUAUGUAAUCACAGUGCAUUUAAAUGUGGCCUUUAUGUGCAUAAUGGUAGCAAAUAAGAUUUCUUGAGUCUGGAAACUUGAAAGUUUACCCUAGGUUUCCAAAGCUUCAAAGCACUUCAUGAUUUUUUUGUGUGGCAACCAAAGCAGUCUUUUCUGUUGUUAAGAUAACUUUACCAGUC